GACGAACGCUGGCGGCGUGCCUAAUACAUGCAAGUAGAACGCUGAAGGAGGAGCUUGCUUCUCUGGAUGAGUUGCGAACGGGUGAGUAACGCGUAGGUAACCUGCCUGGUAGCGGGGGAUAACUAUUGGAAACGAUAGCUAAUACCGCAUAAUAGUAGAUGUUGCAUGACAUUUGCUUAAAAGGUGCAAUUGCAUCACUACCAGAUGGACCUGCGUUGUAUUAGCUAGUUGGUGGGGUAACGGCUCACCAAGGCGACGAUACAUAGCCGACCUGAGAGGGGGAACGGCCCCACUGGGACUGAGACCCGGCCCAGACUCCUACGGGAGGCAGCAGUAGGGAAUCUUCGGCAAUGGACGGAAGUCUGACCGAGCAACGCCGCGUGAGUGAAGAAGGUUUUCGGAUCGUAAAGCUCUGUUGUAAGAGAAGAAAGAGUGUGAGAGUGGAAAGUUCACACUGUGACGGUAUCUGACCAGAAAGGGACGGCUAGCUACGUG
This 495-nucleotide ribosomal RNA is filed under the name uncultured bacterium. RNAcentral's name for it is "partial 16S ribosomal RNA". It matches the Rfam family "Bacterial small subunit ribosomal RNA", at positions 28 to 507 of the family's 1533-position model. The record is from RNAcentral.